AUUCCACUAGCCAUAUAGAGAAUGAUUCUUGACAUUCUUAGGAAUCACCUUGAGCUGGACAUUAUAGAGGCACUUUUCUUAGAGUUGGAUCAUUGUUCUAAGACAAGAACUCACCAAAAACUAGUACCAAAUCCCAAACUCAUUUGGAUGCUCCACAUAUUGUCAAAUUGAAUCAACAAAGAGAGGUAAAAUUGAAAGGACCGAACAGAAUUGAAUUAGCAAACAUAUGAACCGAACAAAAGUGUAAUUAAAAGACAAGAACAGAACAUAGGUGCUGGAAAAAAAAUAGAAAAGCCGAACCAAACAACUCAAGAACACAAGACAACAUGAACAAUUGAAAGAGAAGGAAGGAAGGAGAAGAGAGUGCUCAUGAAGAUGGAAGAAUGUUGGAUGAUCUCG
RNAcentral lists this long non-coding RNA (399 nucleotides) under Phaseolus vulgaris (common bean). RNAcentral's name for it is "long non-coding RNA (PVUL_LNC002509)". Lineage: Eukaryota; Viridiplantae; Streptophyta; Magnoliopsida; Fabales; Fabaceae. The record is from RNAcentral.